AUUGAACGCUAGCGGUAUGCUUUACACAUGCAAGUCGAACGGCAGCGCGGACUUCGGUCUGGCGGCGAGUGGCGAACGGGUGAGUAAUGUAUCGGAACGUGCCCAGUAGCGGGGGAUAACUACGCGAAAGCGUAGCUAAUACCGCAUACGCCCUACGGGGGAAAGCAGGGGAUCGUAAGACCUUGCACUAUUGGAGCGGCCGAUAUCGGAUUAGCUAGUUGGUGAGGUAACGGCUCACCAAGGCGACGAUCCGUAGCUGGUUUGAGAGGACGACCAGCCACACUGGGACUGAGACACGGCCCAGACUCCUACGGGAGGCAGCAGUGGGGAAUGUUGGACGAUGGGGGCAACCCUGAUCCAGCCAUCCCGCGUGUGCGAUGAAGGCCUUCGGGUUGUAAAGCACUUUUGGCAGGAAAGAAACGUCGCGGGCUAAUACCCCGUGGAACUGACGGUACCUGCAGAAUAAGCACCGGCUAACUACGUG
Molecule: ribosomal RNA, 484 nt
Filed under: uncultured bacterium
Lineage: Bacteria
Description: partial 16S ribosomal RNA
Rfam family: Bacterial small subunit ribosomal RNA
Source: RNAcentral